Molecule: ribosomal RNA, 282 nt
Filed under: Triticum aestivum (bread wheat)
Lineage: Eukaryota; Viridiplantae; Streptophyta; Magnoliopsida; Poales; Poaceae
Description: partial small subunit ribosomal RNA
Source: RNAcentral
UACACUUUUCUUCCUGGUGGGGAGAAAUUUUAUACGGUUGGACUUGCAGCUACGUGCUGGGCUAUCUGGCUCGCACGCAAUAAGGCUACUUUCGAGAAAAAGCAGAUUAAGUCUCCUUUUGAAAUUGUGUUUUCUAUGUGCUCUUUUCUUCUGUAUUGGACAGGGCUGCAAAAAGGUGAUGACGCCGACAAUCUAUGUUCAAGUGCUGAGAUGAUCAGGACCAGCACAAUGCAACUGAUGAGGCUUUACGAGGCUGCCACUCAGCCGAUCGGAGGAGCAUGA